This 508-nucleotide ribosomal RNA is filed under the name uncultured bacterium. RNAcentral's name for it is "partial 16S ribosomal RNA". It matches the Rfam family "Bacterial small subunit ribosomal RNA", at positions 28 to 507 of the family's 1533-position model. The record is from RNAcentral.
GACGAACGCUGGCGGCGUGCCUAAUACAUGCAAGUCGAACGCUUCUUUCCUCCCUAGUGCUUGCCCGCUAUUUGAAAGAGGGGUGGCGGACGGGUGAGUAACACUUGGGUAACCUACCCAUCAGAGGUGGAUAACACUGGGAAACAGGUGCUAAUACCUCAUAACAGUUUAUGCCUCAUUGCAUAAGACUGGAAGGCGCGUUCGUGUGUCGCUGAUGGAUGGACCCGCAGUGCAUUAGCUAGGUGGUGAGGUAACGGCUCACCAAGGCCACGAUGCAUAGCCGCCCUGAGGGGGAGAUCGGCCACACUGUGAGUGAGACAGGGCACCGACUCCGGCGGGAGGCCGCAGUCGGGAAUCUUCGGCAAUGGACGAAAGUCUGACAGAGCAAAGCCGGGUGAGUGCAGAACGUGUUAUGCUGGUAAAACUCUGUUGUUAGUGAAGAACAAGAACGUUAGUAACUGAACGUAUAAUGACGGUACCUAACCAGAAAGCCACGGCUAACUCCGUG